AGCAGAGGAAUCCCCACGAGAAAGAGUGGGAUACAAGAAGACAGUCUCCAGAGCUUCCCUGGUGGAGGUUUCCUCCACACCACAGAGAAAGUGACAAAGGGGCAGGGGCCAUCCAGGCAGAGCCCGAGAGACAGAUGGGUCGCUAAAACGAAGACAAGGGAAGUGUGGUUCUUUAGGUUUCUAAGGAGAAGAAAGAGCACAGAGCACAGAGGAGGAAGGGAGAGCCUGUUUGUGACGGCAGGGAAGGAAAUCAGAGAAGACUGGGGCUGAAUUAUCCAGGAAAAACAGUUGUAUUGACUUUACCUGAGCAGUGCCGAAAGCAACUGCUGCGGCGGAGACUUCCAGACGCAGAUGCUUUCAGGGCGGUACUUCCUGCCCAGCAGUCAAGGAGGAGAAAACUGGGGAGAUACAUGGAAGAGUGAGUUGUUUUCCCUGGGCAACACACAGCGAGAGAAAUAAGGGUCCAUCCCCACAGCAUCCUCGGCUCUCAGGCACACAUACUGUGUCACUGAGAAGAAGAAGAUGAAGACGUCGAAUUUGGAAGGCACAGUGGUGUCACAGCCUAAGAACGACUCGGGUCAGAUCCAGUCACCUGUUCUCAAUAAGCCAACUAAAAGAGCCAAAUUCAAAGCAAGAAGCAGAAAAAGGAGAUUUAUUCAAUGUGGGCACAUUGACAAGAAAGAUCCAGAAACCCCACCCCACCCCAUCUUCAGGGUCCUAAGGUAAGACCAAAGGUUAGAGCAGAGGAUACACACAUCUGAGCAAUCCUGGUGAGGGUAUGUGCCUGCCCACCGCUGGCCUACCCUUGUCUGGACUGACAAGUUAGAACUGGGUGAAAUCUCUUCCGGGACACAGGUUCCCGCUCUGGCUGCUACCUGCUCCUUUUCCAAGCAUGAGAUUCUUGAGGAAAUCCUCAUUGCUUUGGGGUUGGUUGUUUUAACAGUUUGGGAGUCAGCCUGGGAUACAGUGUCUCUUUAAGAGUUCUCCACUCCAGCCAGGCCUGUUCUAGAGGCUGGCAUUUGUGAGGCAGAGAAGGUACUAGAGAAGGGGGGUGGGGGUGGGAUGGAGUGACGCUGAAAAAGAACUUCCUUGUGGCUGAAUACAAAGCUUCGCAAGAUCCAAUCCAAGUGAUUGGGCAAAGAAACCCUCGGGAAGCUCAAAUCUUAACAGUUUCCUGAGCUUGGCAAGGCUGGGAAACAUUUCAGUUCCAAGGAGACAGAAUGGUCUGAACCCUUGUGGUCUUUAAGAGUAGCUGACUAUGGGUUGGUGAGAUGGCUCAGUGGGUAAGAGCACCCGACUGCUCUUCCGAAGGUCCAGAGUUCAAAUCCCAGCAACCACAUGGUGGCUCACAACCAUCCGUAACAAGAUCUGACUCCCUCUUCUGGUGUGUCUGAAGACAGCUACAGUGUACUUACAUAUAAUAAUAAAUAAAUCUUAAAAAAAAAAGAGUAGCUGACUACCACAUUCUUCUGUAGAAGCAUUAAGGCAACACUGAUGCCUGAGACCCUGUAGGGACUGAGGAAGACGCUCUGGACUUGGGAUCUGGAUUUGAACACAGUAAUCAUGAUUCUGUUGUAGCGACAGUCUGGGGCUGUGUUGUCUAUUAGCCUCCAGUCAAAUAGGACUACUGAGUCCAUGAAGUGUAGUUAGAGAAAAUAAACUUCAGUUUAAUUAACUUUAAUAGAGAUUUUCUUUAUUGCAAACUGACUGCUAACUCACUAUAUCACCCAGGCUAGCUUAAAAAUCUGGCUUCAACCUUCAAGCAUAGGUAUGUACUGCCUUAACUCUUGAGUAGUGGGAGCAGGAGAUUGGGAGUCUGGGCUAGCCUGGGCUACAUGAGACUGUCUCAGACACUUCCAGUGAAAAGAUAGCAAAUUUAAAAAUAACUUUUCUCCCAACAGUUAAAUGAGAGUUGCCUGAAAUUAGAAGUAAAUGUUCAAUAAAUAUUUUUAAGUAAUUCUUAACCAGGACCGGGUUCAUAAUGUUAGCUGCUACCAAUAAGAUGAUUUGAAUUCCCACACCCAAAAGAGAACCACUUUUAGAUGGAGGGGUGGCCAAGAACAUUACCAUCUCCAUCUUAGAAAUUCUGCUGGAGAAAAUAAGGGGAAGAUCUGAGAGACAUUUUACAACUAGUAUAAGCUCAACACAGCCUUUAGGGGAAGCAGUUUGGAAGUUCCUG
Molecule: long non-coding RNA, 2179 nt
Filed under: Mus musculus (house mouse)
Lineage: Eukaryota; Metazoa; Chordata; Mammalia; Rodentia; Muridae
Description: long non-coding RNA chr1:191410854-191413033
Source: RNAcentral